RNAcentral lists this ribosomal RNA (256 nucleotides) under uncultured bacterium. RNAcentral's name for it is "partial 16S ribosomal RNA". It matches the Rfam family "Bacterial small subunit ribosomal RNA", at positions 524 to 776 of the family's 1533-position model. The record is from RNAcentral.
GACGUAGGGUGCAAGCGUUGUCCGGAUUUAUUGGGCGUAAAGAGCUCGUAGGCGGCUUGUCGCGUCGACUGUGAAAUCCCGCGGCUCAACCGCGGGUCUGCAGUCGAUACGGGCAGGCUAGAGUUCGGUAGGGGAGACUGGAAUUCCUGGUGUAGCGGUGAAAUGCGCAGAUAUCAGGAGGAACACCGGAGUGGCGAAGGCAGGGUCUCUGGGCCGAUACUGACGCUGAGGAGCGAAAGCGUGGGGAGCGAACAGG